AUUGAACGCUGGCGGAAUGCUUUACACAUGCAAGUCGAACGGUAGAGGGGCAACCCUCGAGAGUGGCGAACGGGUGAGUAAUGUAUCGGAACAUGCCCAAUCGUGGGGGAUAACGUAGCGAAAGUUACGCUAAUACCGCAUACGAUCUACGGAUGAAAGCGGGGGAUCGCAAGACCUCGCGCGAUUGGAGUGGCCGAUAUCAGAUUAGGUAGUUGGUGGGGUAAAGGCCUACCAAGCCGACGAUCUGUAGCUGGUCUGAGAGGACGACCAGCCACACUGGGACUGAGACACGGCCCAGACUCCUACGGGAGGCAGCAGUGGGGAAUUUUGGACAAUGGGCGCAAGCCUGAUCCAGCCAUUCCGCGUGCAGGAAGAAGGCCUUCGGGUUGUAAACUGCUUUUGUACGGAACGAAACGCGCUGUGCUAAUACCACGGCGUAAUGACGGUACCGUAAGAAUAAGCACCGGCUAACUACGUGCCAGCCGCCGCCGUAA
RNAcentral lists this ribosomal RNA (494 nucleotides) under uncultured bacterium. RNAcentral describes it as "partial 16S ribosomal RNA". It matches the Rfam family "Bacterial small subunit ribosomal RNA", at positions 30 to 523 of the family's 1533-position model. The record is from RNAcentral.